GAUGAACGCUGGCGGCGUGCCUAAUACAUACAAGUCGAGCGAACAGAUAAGGAGCUUGCUCCUUUGACGUUAGCGGCGGACGGGUGAGUUACACGUGGAUAACCUACCUAUAAGACUGGGAUAACUUCGGGAAACCGGAGCUAAUACCGGAUAACAUAUUGAACCGCAUGGUUCAAUAGUGAAAGGCGGCUUUGCUGUCACUUAUAGAUGGAUCCGCGCCGUAUUAGCUAGUUGGUAAGGUAACGGCUUACCAAGGCAACGAUACGUAGCCGACCUGAGAGGGUGAUCGGCCACACUGGAACUGAGACACGGUCCAGACUCCUACGGGAGGCAGCAGUAGGGAAUCUUCCGCAAUGGGCGAAAGCCUGACGGAGCAACGCCGCGUGAGUGAUGAAGGUCUUCGGAUCGUAAAACUCUGUUAUCAGGGAAGAACAAAUGUGUAAGUAACUGUGCACAUCUUGACGGUACCUGAUCAGAAAGCCACGGCUAACUACGUG
RNAcentral lists this ribosomal RNA (497 nucleotides) under uncultured bacterium. RNAcentral's name for it is "partial 16S ribosomal RNA". It matches the Rfam family "Bacterial small subunit ribosomal RNA", at positions 28 to 507 of the family's 1533-position model. The record is from RNAcentral.